Molecule: long non-coding RNA, 354 nt
Organism: Mya arenaria
Lineage: Eukaryota; Metazoa; Mollusca; Bivalvia; Myida; Myidae
Exons: 3
Source: RefSeq, a predicted model, not a curated record
AAACAUUGAAUGCCGGCAUGGCUUUAAUAUUUUCACAGUUACAAGUGAAUUAAAACAUUUUCAUGGACUACCAUUGCUGGUAUUGUGAUCUAUUUAUCACUGUCGUGCGGUUCCUUGCGUUUCACGAUCAUGGUUUCACAGUCUUCAUAACGGCAUCCUAAUAGUAACAGGCUUUUGCAUUUAACAAAUACUGCACGCCUGGGUUUUGAACCCUCGUACUCCGAGUAUCGCGACAUUUGGUGGCCAGUGUGGUCUCGGGCUUGUAUUGCUGUUGGGCUUCGCAACGUAUACAUCUGCAGUUAUGGGCUUGGCGGUAUGUGUCGAACGUCGUGAGGGCGAAUUUUCACCAGCAAA